Molecule: non-coding RNA, 1012 nt
Organism: Triticum urartu
Lineage: Eukaryota; Viridiplantae; Streptophyta; Magnoliopsida; Poales; Poaceae
Source: RefSeq, a predicted model, not a curated record
GGGAUAAAAAUGAUCCUUUAUUCCCCAAAUUAUUGCAUAUUUGCCAUGUAGAGUGCCCAUGGAUAUUUAGACCUAGAUAUAUUUAUUGCUUGUAUUAUGGACAUGCGAGUUUCAUAUUCAGUCCGUAAAAUAAGGGUGUAAAAGUGAUCCUUCAUUCCCCAAAUUAUUGCAUAUUUGACAUGUAGUUGUUAUACACUUGCACAAUGUUGCUUGCAGGACAUGUGUUGGAUGGUUAUUUUUUUAUUCUGAAAGGAGAUCUUGUAUGUUGCUAUGUUCUUUCAAAUCGUGGAUAACAUUUUGAUCUAAGUGAGCUGGUUCUUUCAAUUGGUGCAUAGCAUGUUCAAUUGAAGUUCAAGCAAACAGAGUAUGAAGUAUGAGAUAGUUUAGAUUCUCACUAAAUAUCAUGGUGAUUCAUUCCAAUUUUAGUAUCUCAUAAUGUGAUGCCCAAUUACUUUUACCUAAUAUAAUUCAUAUAUGAUUAUUUUCUGUAAUGUGUGAAACAUUUUUCAGGGACCAUCUUUCUAAUGUUUUCUUACCAUUCUUUUGACAACUGAUUUCAGUACCACUUGUAAUAAUUUCUUAGAUGAUUUCCUGGACAAUUACACUCCCAUAUUUUUGGAAUUAAUAACACCAAUGAGUUAAUAUAACACUGAUAUUUUUGGUAGGUUUUCUGUCUAUCUGUUACAUAGCAAAUGAGAUCAUUCACCAGCACACUCAAGCAGAAGCAGCAAUAGAAGACACAUAUGUGCGAUGUGCUCAAGAGAAUGACGUCUCUACAAUCUGGAUGUUGCCCAGAUAGCAGAGAUCAUAAAAACAGGAGAAUCAUGGUGUGUGUUCAUGGAGGUGGAAGGGGGGCAUUGUGAGCCGGAUUUGUCACUACUGAGGUGGCGAACAUGGACUGGGGUUGCCGAGUGCAAAUGAAGCUAAAGACAACAUAUAAUUAUUUAGAUCAUUUCUCUCUGUAUACACGGUUGAGUUAAAUUGCGAGUGAAGUGGAUUUCAAUUAUUUUAA